RNAcentral lists this small RNA (32 nucleotides) under Arabidopsis thaliana (thale cress). Its description in RNAcentral is "ATSL144370". Lineage: Eukaryota; Viridiplantae; Streptophyta; Magnoliopsida; Brassicales; Brassicaceae. The record is from RNAcentral.
CUUUUUCUUCUUCUUCUUCUUCUUCAUCUUCU